Non-coding RNA from Podarcis lilfordi (Lilford's wall lizard), 976 nucleotides. Lineage: Eukaryota; Metazoa; Chordata; Lepidosauria; Squamata; Lacertidae. The record is from the annotation of a GenBank genome assembly.
GUGGUGCUUCAGGUUAAGAACAGUUUUAGGUUAAGAACGGACCUCCGGAACGAUUUAAGUACUUAACCCAAGGUACCACUGUACAUUUAAAGCACUACUAUACCACUUUAAAUAGUAUUCAGCCACUUUAAAUUCUGAGAGCUUUCGUUUGUUAAGGGUACAGAGAGUUGCUAGGAGACCUCUGUUCCCCUCACAGAUCUACAGUUCCCAGAGUUACUUGGGAAAAGGAAUUGACUGUUAAACCACUCUGAGAAUUAUAGCGCUUGCCCCCUGUGUCCCUAUCCGGCCACUUUGAUCUACGGAAACAAGCACUUUUACAAGUUCCACAUAAUGUUUGCUCUGUACUUGCAAGAAGCCAGACUUUUUGUGUUGCAGCAUGUGAGGGGAAUGGGGGGUAGGGGUCUCCUACAACUCUCAGCACCCUUAACAAACUGCAGCUCCCAAUAUUUUGGGGGGAAACCAUAAAAGUUUAAAGUGAUCUCAUAAUGCUUCAGGGGUGCCCAAACUUUUUUCAAAGAGGGCCAGAUUUGAUGAAGUGAACAUGAGUGAGGGCCAACCAAAGUUGUUGAGCUUUGCUUUUUUUAGGAUUUUCCCCAAAAGUUGUUGAGCUUUUUUUAGGACUGACUGGCCACAGGAACCAGAUUAAAUCAGCCAGAGGGCUGGGUUAGGCUUUGGACAUGCCUGCUAUAUGUACAGUGCAGAUGGGACCUAGAUUUCACUUGAAGGCCAAUAACCUUCACCCUGAACCAAUCAGAAACCCUCCAGAUGUUGUGGACUGAAACUCCCAUGAUCCAUGUCCAUUGUCUGUGUUGACUGAUGCUCAUGGGAUCUGUAGUCCGCAGCAUUAUUAUUUUCCAUGGGGGUGGUAUCAUGCCGGCUAACCCUGUAUCCAAUUUGAUUGGUGCUAAUUCAAACAUACUUGCUGGAUCAGAACGAGGAAGUGGCCUCAGGGAUAAUAUCUCUAAUUCCGCAGGGG